UACGUAGGGUCCGAGCGUUGUCCGGAAUUACUGGGCGUAAAGAGCUUGUAGGCGGUUUGUCGCGUCUGCUGUGAAAUUUCGGGGCUCAACCCCGAACUUGCAGUGGGUACGGGCAGACUAGAGUGUGGUAGGGGAGACUGGAAUUCCUGGUGUAGCGGUGAAAUGCGCAGAUAUCAGGAGGAACACCGAUGGCGAAGGCAGGUCUCUGGGCCAUAACUGACGCUGAGAAGCGAAAGCAUGGGGAGCGAACAGG
Molecule: ribosomal RNA, 253 nt
Filed under: uncultured bacterium
Lineage: Bacteria
Description: partial 16S ribosomal RNA
Rfam family: Bacterial small subunit ribosomal RNA
Source: RNAcentral